RNAcentral lists this ribosomal RNA (158 nucleotides) under Rhizoctonia solani. RNAcentral describes it as "5.8S ribosomal RNA". It matches the Rfam family "5.8S ribosomal RNA". Rfam says of the family: 5.8S ribosomal RNA (5.8S rRNA) is a component of the large subunit of the eukaryotic ribosome. The record is from RNAcentral. Lineage: Eukaryota; Fungi; Basidiomycota; Agaricomycetes; Cantharellales; Ceratobasidiaceae.
UAAAACUUUCAACAACGGAUCUCUUGGUUCUCGCAUCGAUGAAGAACGCAGCGAAAUGCGAUAAGUAGUGUGAAUUGCAGAAUUCAGUGAAUCAUCGAAUCUUUGAACGCACAUUGCGCCCUCUGGCAUUCCGGAGGGCAUGCCCGUUCGAGCGUCAU